This 1026-nucleotide ribosomal RNA is filed under the name Triticum aestivum (bread wheat). RNAcentral's name for it is "partial small subunit ribosomal RNA". Lineage: Eukaryota; Viridiplantae; Streptophyta; Magnoliopsida; Poales; Poaceae. The record is from RNAcentral.
AUGGGAGCGUACCAGCCACUGCAUCACCAGCACAGCCAGAAGCCGUCGUCGACUCACCAUGGCAGAGUCGCCUUGGCCUGGCUUUUCUCCGCCGUGCUCUGCCUGGCUCUCCUCCACCUCCUCUGCUGCUCCUCGCGCGCCGCACGCGAAAAUGUCGUCUUCUCGCCUCUGCUCCAGUACAUCACCAGCACCUACACUAAAGGAAGAGGGUCGACUUCCAGCUGCGACUACUCGGAGGGGCAGUGGGUGCGGGCGGCGGGGCACGCCCGGCGGUACAACGGCACCGAGUGCAACGUCAAGGACAGCGAGAACUGCGUCCGCAACGGGCGCCCCGACACCGACUACCUCGACUGGCGGUGGCAGCCGGCGGCGCCCGGGUGCCAGCUCCCGGGCUUCGACGCCGCGGCGUUCCUCGGCGCCGUCCGCGGCGAGCACGUGGCCUUCGUCGGCGAUUCCAUGGCGCGGAACCAGGCCGAGUCGCUGGUCUGCCUCCUGGGCGCGUCCUUCCCGUACCACCUGGUGUACCGCGACCCGCAGCCCGGGACGCGUAAGUUCUGGCGCUGGGCGUUCCCCACCCACAACGUCACGGUGUCCGUCUACUGGGCGCCCUUCCUGGCGCGGGCCACGGGCAGGUGCGACAACUACAGCCUGCCCUACAACUCGGUGCACCUCGACGCGCUCGCUGACCGCUGGUCCGCCGACGCCGGCACCAUGGACGUGGCCGUGGUCAGCGCCGGCCACUGGUUCUGGAAGCCGACCGUCUACUACAACGGCAGCGACGUGCUCGGCACGCACCUCCUCCCCGAGCUCAACCACACCGGGAUCGGCUUCCUCUCGCCGUACCGGGAGGCCAUCCGGGCGUCCAUACGGCGCCUCGCCUCGGCCGGCCGCGCGCGCGCCGUGGUCGUGGCCACCUUCUCGCCGGCGCACUUCGAGAAGGCGUGGGACGACCCCACCACGUGCGCCAGGAAGCUGCCGUACACGGAGGGGGAGAGGGAGGUGGACGCCACGCACGCCCAGCUUUGA